GUACUGUGCAAACGUUAUUCGGAAUCACUGGGCUUAAAGGGUGCGUAGGCGGUGAUUUAAGUAGGGUGUGAAAUCCCUCGGCUCAACCGAGGAACUGCGCUCUAAACUGAAUCACUUGAGUAAGAUAGGGGUGUGCGGAACUUCCGGUGGAGCGGUGAAAUGUGUUGAUAUCGGAAGGAACGCCAGUAGCGAAAGCGGCACACUGGGUCUUAACUGACGCUGAGGCACGAAAGCCAGGGCAGCGAACGGGGGAUUAGAUACCCCGGUAGUCCUGGCUGUAAACGAUGAGUACUAGUUGGAAGGCGCUUACGCAUUUUCCAACGUAGCAAACGUAUUAAGUACUCCGCCUGGGGAGUAUGGUCGCAAGGCUG
Molecule: ribosomal RNA, 371 nt
Filed under: uncultured organism
Description: partial 16S ribosomal RNA
Rfam family: Bacterial small subunit ribosomal RNA
Source: RNAcentral